AGUGGCGGACGGGUGAGUAACGCGUGAGAAUCUGCCUUGGGGUCGGGGACAACCACUGGAAACGGUGGCUAAUACCGGAUAAGCCGAUUGGUGAAAGAUUUAUUGCCCGAAGAGGAGCUCGCGUCUGAUUAGCUAGUUGGUGAGGUAAGAGCUCACCAAGGCAGCGAUCAGUAGCUGGUCUGAGAGGACGAUCAGCCACACUGGGACUGAGACACGGCCCAGACUCCUACGGGAGGCAGCAGUGGGGAAUUUUCCGCAAUGGGCGAAAGCCUGACGGAGCAAGACCGCGUGAGGGAGGAAGGCUCUUGGGUUGUAAACCUCUUUUCUCAGGGAAGAAGCUCUGACGGUACCUGAGGAAUCAGCCUCGGCUAACUCCGUGCCAGCAGCCGCGGUAAUACGGAGGAGGCAAGCGUUAUCCGGAAUUAUUGGGCGUAAAGCGUCCGCAGGUGGCGAUUCAAGUCUGCUGUCAAAGCACGGGGCUUAACUCCGUAAAGGCAGUGGUAACUGAAUAGCUAGAGUGCCGUAGGGGUAGAGGGAAUUCCCGGUGUAGCGGUGAAAUGCGUAGAGAUCGGGAAGAACAUCGGUGGCGAAAGCGCUCUACUGGACGGCAACUGACACUCAGGGACGAAAGCUAGGGGAGCGAAUGGGAUUAGAUACCCC
RNAcentral lists this ribosomal RNA (660 nucleotides) under uncultured bacterium. RNAcentral's name for it is "bacterial SSU rRNA". It matches the Rfam family "Bacterial small subunit ribosomal RNA", at positions 94 to 788 of the family's 1533-position model. The record is from RNAcentral.